GACGAACGCUGGCGGCGCGCUUAACACAUGCAAGUCGAGCGAAGCGGCGGACGGGGGAGUAACACGUGAGUAACCUGCCUUAGACAUUGGGAUAGCCUCGGGAAACCGGGAUUAAUACCAAAUGGUAUAAGAUGGACUCGCGUCGCAUUAGCUAGCUGGUGAGGGAACGGCCCACCAAGGCGACGAUGGGGAGCCGGCCUGAGAGGGUGAACGGCGCCGUUGGACCGGAGAAACGGUCCAAACUCUACGGGAUGCAGCAGUGGGGAAUAUUGCACAAUGGAGGGAACUCUGAUGCCGCGACGCCGCGUGAACGAUGAAGGCUUUCGAGUCGUACAGUUCUUUUAUAUGGGAAGCGGUACCAUAAGAAAAAGCCCCGGCUAACUCCGUGCCAGCCGCCGCGGUAAUUC
RNAcentral lists this ribosomal RNA (407 nucleotides) under uncultured bacterium. RNAcentral describes it as "partial 16S ribosomal RNA". It matches the Rfam family "Bacterial small subunit ribosomal RNA", at positions 28 to 526 of the family's 1533-position model. The record is from RNAcentral.